RNAcentral lists this ribosomal RNA (478 nucleotides) under uncultured bacterium. RNAcentral describes it as "partial 16S ribosomal RNA". It matches the Rfam family "Bacterial small subunit ribosomal RNA", at positions 28 to 523 of the family's 1533-position model. The record is from RNAcentral.
GACGAACGCUGGCGGCGUGCUUAACACAUGCAAGUCGAACGGUAAGGCCCUUCGGGGUACACGAGUGGCGAACGGGGGAGUAACACGUGGGUGAUCUGCCCUGCAUUUCGGGAUAAGCCUGGGAAACUGGGUCUAAUACCGGAUAGGACUCCUGGCUUCAUGGUUGGGGGUGGAAAGCUUUUGCGGUGUGGGAUGGGCCCGCGGCCUAUCAGCUUGUUGGUGGGGUAAUGGCCUACCAAGGCGACGACGGGUAGCCGGCCUGAGAGGGUGACCGGUCACACUGGGACUGAGAUACGGCCCAGACUCCUACGGGAGGCAGCAGUGGGGAAUAUUGCACAAUGGGCGCAAGCCUGAUGCAGCGACGCCGCGUGAGGGAUGACGGCCUUCGGGUUGUAAACCUCUUUCAGCACCGACGAAGCGCAAGUGACGGUAGGUGCAGAAGAAGGACCGGCCAACUACGUGCCAGCCGCCGCGGUAA